This 200-nucleotide microRNA precursor is filed under the name Oryza barthii. RNAcentral's name for it is "MIR812 microRNA precursor family". It matches the Rfam family "MIR812 microRNA precursor family". Lineage: Eukaryota; Viridiplantae; Streptophyta; Magnoliopsida; Poales; Poaceae. The record is from Rfam by way of RNAcentral.
AAAAAGACAAACCCUAGUUUUCCGUGUCCAACGUUUAACUAUCCGUCUUAUAUAAAUUUUUUUAUAAUUAGUAUUUUCAUUGUUGUUAGAUGAUAAAACAUAAUUAGUACUUUAUGCGUGACUUGUCUUUUUAAUUUUUUUUAUAAUUUUUUCAAAUAAGACGGACGGUCAAACGUUGGAAACGGAAACUAGAGUUUAUC